GGUAGAGCCGGGCCUCGCAUUCCCGGCUGGGUGGCUUCGCAGCCUGUGCCCUCCUGGCUCUGCCUCGCCGGCUCCCGGAGGGGUCAGGAGCACGAGGCUGGGCACCCACCUGAGGGAGGCUGCUCGUGCAUUACUGCCUCUGUUCCUCCCUCACCCCCCGACGUAGCUGCUGUUAUCGUUCUGUUCGAUAGAUAAAGAAAUUGAGGCACAGGGAGGGUAGGAAACUUGUGCAAAGUCACACAGCUAGAAAGUGGUGGAGAUGGGAUUUGAAUUUGUUCUUUUUCUUUUGAGAUUUAUUUUUUUACUUGGCAGAGAAAGAGAAAGAGAGAUUGAGGGAUCACAAGCAGGGCGUGGAGGCAGAGGGUGAGGGAGAAGCAGGCUUCCCGCUGAGAGGGAGCCAGGCAUGGGGCUUGAUCCCAGGACCCUGGGAUCAUGAGCUGGGCCGAAGGCACAUGCUUAACCGACUGAGCCCCCUGGGAGCCCCUGAACUUGUGUUCUUAGUCGCUGUAUCCUAUGGGCUCCUUGGGAGCCUGUGAGCAACCCUGAGGCAGGGUGGGUCUCUCACAUGACUCGAUGCCUCAGUGUCUCUCCCACCCAGGGCCUGACACAGAGAAGGGAUUCAUGAAAUGUUUUUGCUUUUUUUAAAAUAUGGAACGCUUCACGAAUUUGUGUGUCAUCCUUCUUUGCGCAGGGGCCAUGCUAAUCUCUGUAUCGUUUCAAUUUUAGUGUAAAGCCAGCGUGGAUUCAUGAAAUGUUUACUGAAGGAAUGGAAAGCCCAGCUUGGUGGGGUGCUCCUGCCUCUGGACUGGCCAGCUCCUCACUGUCUCACAAGGUGAGACAUUAUUAUUACUCUUACAAGUGUUUCCUGACCUGCCAGGCUCUAUCCUAGCCCUGGGGGUACAGUGGUGGAUGAGCCGGUCUCUGCUUCUGUGGAGGCAGGUGGGGUACAUGUGGGUUAGCUCAUAAUAAAGGGGUGCGGCAAGUGCAGAGAUGGGAGCACCCUGGGUGCUGCAAGAGGGCCAUCUGACCCAGCCUAGAAGGGGCAGCCAGGCAAGAGGACAGUGGGGAGAGGAUGGGCACAUCACAUGGAAGGGACGGCAUCAACGAAGGUCUGGGUUGGGACCACAGUGUGGCCCCAGAGCAUGGGGAACCACGCGAGACCUCUGCCAUCCCAGAGCUGUGGUGACCAUGGGAAUGUCCAUCGUUCGUUCUCAGAGCCUUCAGGAUGAGGCAUCACAGAGAUGGCUCAUAACCACCCGGUGACCUCCAGCAGAGACACGCCAGGAAGGCAGGAAGGGGCCGUGCAGCAGGAUCAUGUUCUGGACUAGAAAGUACGUCUGCUCAUUACCCGACCUUUGCUAAGUACACCAACUAAUGGAGCGAGAGACAUGAAAGAUCUUCACAGGCCAUGUGGAAAUGUAAUUCAAACCCAGCCCGAGGAGGUCACAGUAAGUUAGAUUAAUUUUCAUCCAGCCUUUCCUUACAGAGCUAACCUUUGCCUUACAGGAAAGUUCUUUAAAAAGAGAUAAGUCAGUGUUUGUUUGGCAUUUGAAGGCGUUUUAAUCCUAGCAACCCUGUUGGAAGUGUCCCCAUUCUGGGGGGACUCAGCCCAGGUUACUAUUUAUUGAUCCUUUACAUCAGAGAUAAUUGUCCUGGGUUUGAAAUCUAUCAAGUAUUGGAAAUUCAAAUUAAGC
RNAcentral lists this long non-coding RNA (1694 nucleotides) under Canis lupus familiaris (dog). RNAcentral describes it as "lncRNA (ENSCAFG00000037884.3)". The record is from RNAcentral. Lineage: Eukaryota; Metazoa; Chordata; Mammalia; Carnivora; Canidae.